This 70-nucleotide transfer RNA is filed under the name Chrysomela populi. RNAcentral's name for it is "tRNA-Ile". Lineage: Eukaryota; Metazoa; Arthropoda; Insecta; Coleoptera; Chrysomelidae. The record is from RNAcentral.
UGAAGUGCCUGAUUUUAAGGAUAAUCUUGAUACGAUUAAAUAAGUGUGUGCCCCCCCCCCACCUUCACAA